UCGUCAAAUUUGUUAUUAGUUUGUAAUCGAAUACAAGAUUUUCUCUCGUCAUCACCCUCGCAGUGUACCUCAUAGGUCUUUGCGCCGGAUGGCAGGUUGCCUUGCCACCAGCGCCAAAACUAGCGGCACGUCGAAGUUUUCUUGCUCACCCAUGUACCUCCUCUUCGCAUAAGUUGGCUAGUAUGGCUACUUUGAAAUUAUGGACUGGUGCCGCGCUGCCAACCUCCCCACCGCAGCAAAGACCUAGAAGGUCGACUGCGAGGAUAUACGAGGACAUAUACCAACAGAGAGAGAAUAAUUGCUGCAGAAAAAGUAAUUUUUGCCUGUAUGGAAGUCCACAAGCG
RNAcentral lists this long non-coding RNA (344 nucleotides) under Actinidia chinensis (golden kiwifruit). Its description in RNAcentral is "long non-coding RNA (ACHI_LNC009426)". The record is from RNAcentral. Lineage: Eukaryota; Viridiplantae; Streptophyta; Magnoliopsida; Ericales; Actinidiaceae.